This is a long non-coding RNA of Juglans microcarpa x Juglans regia, 1121 nucleotides long. RefSeq lists it as uncharacterized. The record is from RefSeq and is a predicted model, not a curated record. Lineage: Eukaryota; Viridiplantae; Streptophyta; Magnoliopsida; Fagales; Juglandaceae. The transcript has 2 exons.
UCUUCUAGGUACAAGCGAAUCGGUGGACGAAUUGGUGUACGAAGCUCACGUGGAACUGCUGCUGUCAGAGUUAUUUAAAAAUUAAAAAUUAAAAUUAAAAAAGAAAGAAAGAAGGAAAACGAACAUAAGAAGACUGCCCCUUCCGAAGAAGACUUCCCCUUCGUACAAAUCCCAAGAUUCGGUGGUGGUGCUCUCUCGUUCCUCCCUCUACUGCAACUUGGCCAGUCUCCUCCGCACGCGACCCGCAUUCGAGAUUUUUCCUGUCGUCAAAUCUUUAUCGUCAUCUUCAAGAAUAACCACAGUCUGCAAAGGUACGUAAGAAUCUCUAAAUGGUCUAUUCAGCUGAUUGGUUGUUGGCGGUGCUUAAAACGAUCCAUACUUGUUUGGAGCUGCAAAAAGGAAUCUUUUCUUUAAUCUUCUAUAUGCUGAAGGCAGUAGCUCAAUGUUGCAGUUAUGAUGAAUUUUAGAUUGUUAAGAGUUUUUGUUGUUCCUCCAUUUAGGUCCUGACUUUUUGGAAGCUGUUUGAUGUAUCAUCAUUCGAGUAGUUGUUAUGCUCAGUCCACCUCAGCAUUGGGUCAGAGUUUGCUCAGGCUGAAAGAGCCUACUGUUUUGCUGCAUUGCCGCGAAGAUGAUCUUCACUUCAUCUGUGCUGGAUUCAGCCGCACAAGAAUAUUCUGAGAAAGCAAAUGUUCAUCCACCUCAGAUCAUAGUCGACAAUAUUGUCUAUCUCAAGUGUAUGGAGUUGAUCAUUUUUUAAUGUUUCAACUGUAAUGGUACUUCUUAAGUGUUUUGGUUAUGAUGUACAAAAGGGAUAUUUGUUGGUUCAUUAAAUUAACCUUUCUAAUGAAAAGUUGUGUAAUGAAAACAGCUUGUACACAUGGUUUUGGAGAGAUUCCAUUGAAAUGAGAAACAUUAGUUCUUGAAUUGAGUUCAUAACUGGCAAAUAUUACAGCAAAUGAAACACAAAGUAAGCAAAUAUUACAGCAAAUGAAACACAAAGUAAACAAAUAUUACAGGUCUCAAAAAGCCUAGUAUGACUUUUUUCUAACAAAAAAACAGCUUCCUUCCUUCUGACCCCAAGAUUGUGGAUUUGGGUGACUGUUGACGAGGUUGAACUUGCU